CUAUCAGGUAGUUGGUGAGGUAACGGCUCACCAAGCCGACGACGGGUAGGGGGCGUGAGAGCGUGGCCCCCCACACGGGAACUGAGACACGGUCCCGACGCCUACGGGCGGCAGCAGUGAGGAAUCUUGCCCAAUGGGGGAAACCCUGAGGCAGCGACACCGCGUGCGGGAUGAAGGCCUUCGGGUCGUAAACCGCUUUUCUGGGGGACGAGUAAGGACGGUACUCCAGGAAUAAGUCCCGGCUAACUACGUGCCAGCAGCCGCGGUAAAACGUAGGGGGCGAGCGUUAUCCGGAAUCACUGGGCGUAAAGGGCGUCUAGGCGGCAGCCUAAGUCCCGUGUGAAAGCUCCCGGCUCAACUGGGAGAGGGCAUGGGAGACUGGGCAGCUAGAGACUCGGAGGGGGGUGUGGAAUUCCCGGUGGAGUGGUGGAAUGCGUUGAGAUCGGGAGGAACACCAGUAGCGAAGGCGGCACCCUGGCCGAGAUCUGACGCUGAAGCGCGAGAGCGUGGGGAGCGAACGGGAUUAGAUACCCCGGUAGUCCACGCCGUAAACGAUGACAACUAGGUGUUGGGUGUCCAAGGAUGCUCAGUACCGCAGCAAACGCGAUAAG
RNAcentral lists this ribosomal RNA (611 nucleotides) under uncultured bacterium. Its description in RNAcentral is "bacterial SSU rRNA". It matches the Rfam family "Bacterial small subunit ribosomal RNA", at positions 238 to 864 of the family's 1533-position model. The record is from RNAcentral.